CCUACGGGUGGCAGCAGUAGGGAAUAUUGCUCAAUGGGGGAAACCCUGAAGCAGCAACGCCGCGUGGAGGAUGAAGGUUUUCGGAUUGUAAACUCCUUUUGUUAGAGAAGAUAAUGACUUUAUCUAACGAAUAAGCACCGGCUAACUCCGUGCCAGCAGCCGCGGUGAUACGGUGGGUGCAAGCGUUACUCGGAAUCACUGGGCGUAAAGAGCGCGUAGGCGGGAUAGCAAGUCAGAUGUGAAAGCCUAUGGCGUAACCAUAGAACUGCAGUUGAAACUGUUAUUCUAGAGUAUGGGAGAGGUAGGUGGAAUUCUUGGUGUAGCGGUAAAAUACGCAGAGAUCAAGAGGAAUACUCAUUGCGAAGGCGAACUGCUAGAAUAUAACUGACGCUGAUGCGCGAAAGCGUGGGGAGCAAACAGGAUUAGAUACCCUUGUAGUC
Molecule: ribosomal RNA, 440 nt
Filed under: uncultured bacterium
Lineage: Bacteria
Description: partial 16S ribosomal RNA
Rfam family: Bacterial small subunit ribosomal RNA
Source: RNAcentral